UUUUUUUUCUAGUUCUGUGAAAAUUUCCACUGGAAUUUUGAUGAAAAAUUGCCUUGACUCUGUAUACAGUUUUGGGAAGUGCAGACUUGUUAACAAUAUUAAUAUUUCCAACCCACGAAUACAGGGUGUCCUUGUAUUUAUUUGUGGCUUCUUCAACUCCUUUCAUCAACAUUUUCUCAUUUUCAGUGGAGAGAUCCUUCACCUCCUGGUCAGGUUUAGUCCUCAGUCUUUCCUGGUGCUCUCAAAAGUGAGACUGUUUUCUUGCUCUCUUUUUUGAUGGACUGUUGCUGGGGUAGAGAAAUGCAACUGAGUUUUGUGUGUUGACUUUGUAUCUACGACUUUACUGAAUUCACUUCUUAGUUGCAGCAGGUUUCCUGUGGAGUUCUUAGGGUUUUUACAUGCAGGAUCAGGUCAUCUACAAAUGACUAAUUUCACGUUUUCCUUGCCAACCUGGAUUCCCUUUCUUCACGUCUGACUGCGCUUGCUAGUACUUCCAACACCAUGCUAAGGAGAAAAGGUGAGAAGGUGCAUCUUUGUCUGAUACCAACUCUUCGAGGAAAAGCUUUCAGUUCUCCCUGUUGACGCUGACGUUCGCUGUGGGCUUUUCACAGAAGGCCUUUACUAUGUUGAGGGAAUUUUCUUUGGCACAUACUUGUCGAGAGUUUUGUCAGGACUGGACGUUAAGCUCUGUCAAAUGCUCUUUCUGCGUCUAUUGAGGUGAUAGUGUGGUUUUCUUCUUUCAUUCUGUCAAUGUGCUGUAUCACAGUGAUUAGUUUUCGUAAGUUAAACCAAUCUUGCAUCCCAAGAAUAAAUUCCAUUUGGACAUUAUCUGUCCCCUCGUGAAAUCACCUAUAGAAAUGCAGGAUUCUUGCUGACUCAUUUUAAAAAUUAGAAAUGACUUACAUUGUUAUUCGCCAGUAAAAUGAAAUCUGACUGCUUAUUGUCUCAACGAAUUAGCCUGCCAGCUAAUUUUUAUCAUAUAUUAAUGCAAAUCUACAUUAUAAUUUUAUCAAUUAAUCCAAAUCCAAAUAUUUACCAAAUAUUACCAUAUUAGGUAAAAUAUGGAAUCCAGUGCCAAAUUUCACUGUGAGCUGUAACUCAUAAAUUCUCCUUACUCUGCCUUUAGGAGAAUGCACUUUGAGCAAACAUUCAGCCCAAUGAGUGCUUCCCAAACAUUACAACAACCUAGCAGUGGAAAAGGGCCUCCCUUAGGCAGAGUCAAAAUCAAGACUCAUUCAAGCACACACACAGGUGGAAAGCAGAAGCAAAGUCAGGGCAUUAGAAAUACAGGAUUUCUAAUUUUCAGAGCGGAAAUAUAGGAUUUCACACUCUUAGGACUUUUCUCCCACAAGUCUGUUGAGCUUUGAAGUUAGGACAAUGACUGGAAUUCCCAUCGUGGCUCAGUGGAAAUCAAUCUGACUAUCACCCAUGAGGACGCAGGUUUGAUCCCUGGCCUUGCUCAGUGGGUUUGGGUCAGGAGAAAGCUGCUAUCUGCAGCCAGCCAUCCAAGGCUGUCCCAAGUUUUACUCGUGAUGUUUACAUCUAGGAGACAACACACCUCCAUGUUCAUAGCACACAUCCAGGGCAGCCAAUAUCAGACACCAAAUCCUACAAUUCCUCCCAGGAAGAGUAAAAAUACUCACUGCACUUACACUCCAUCACUCACUAAUGUAAGUCAUUCAACAAACAGUCACAAAAGAGUUUCUCUACUAGAAACUACAGAAGGAACAAAGUCAUAUUCUUCAAAAACAGGGCAAGGGAUUGGAGUAUGUCAAACAAUAAGCACUUAGAGAACGUUUGUGGCCAAAACGCAACAGUCCAGCGGUGAAGACCUGAGAC
Molecule: long non-coding RNA, 1839 nt
Filed under: Sus scrofa (pig)
Lineage: Eukaryota; Metazoa; Chordata; Mammalia; Artiodactyla; Suidae
Description: lncRNA (ENSSSCG00055017069.1)
Source: RNAcentral